This 397-nucleotide ribosomal RNA is filed under the name uncultured bacterium. RNAcentral describes it as "partial 16S ribosomal RNA". It matches the Rfam family "Bacterial small subunit ribosomal RNA", at positions 523 to 918 of the family's 1533-position model. The record is from RNAcentral.
AUACGUAGGUGACAAGCGUUAUCCGGAUUUACUGGGCGUAAAGGGCGUGUAGGCGGUCUUGCAAGUCAGAAGUGAAAUUCCUGAGCUCAACUCGGGCGCUGCUUCUGAAACUGCAGGACUUGAGUGCUGGAGGGGAUAGCGGAAUUCCUAGUGGAGCGGUAAAAUGCGCAGAUAUUAGGAAGAACACCGGUGGCGAAGGCGGCUAUCUGGACAGUAACUGACGCUGAGGCGCGAAAGCGUGGGGAGCAAACAGGAUUAGAUCCCCUGGUAGUCCACGCCGUAAACGAUGAAUACUAGGUGUAGGGGGUAUCGACUCCCUCUGUGCCGCAGUCAACACAAUAAGUAUUCCGCCUGGGGAGUACGGCCGCAAGGUUGAAACUCAAAUGAAUUGACGGGG